RNAcentral lists this ribosomal RNA (325 nucleotides) under uncultured eukaryote. RNAcentral's name for it is "partial 18S ribosomal RNA". It matches the Rfam family "Eukaryotic small subunit ribosomal RNA", at positions 1470 to 1796 of the family's 1831-position model. The record is from RNAcentral.
CCCUUAGAUGUCCGGGGCCGCACGCGCGCUACACUGAAGGAAUCAGCGUGGCUUUCUCCCUGACCCGAAAGGGUUGGGAAACCCGUUGAAUCUCCUUCGUGAUAGGGAUUGGGGCUUGAAAUUGUUCCCCAUGAACGAGGAAUUCCCAGUAAGCGCGAGUCAUAAGCUCGCGUUGAUUACGUCCCUGCCCUUUGUACACACCGCCCGUCGCUACUACCGAUUGGAUGUUCCGGUGAGCUCUUCGGACUGCGCGGUCUGCAGUUUCUGCGUUCCGUGCGGAAAGUUGCGCAAACCUUAACAUUUAGAGGAAGGAGAAGUCGUAACA